GACAUAUGGGGCGAGCGUUACUCGGAAUUACUAGGCGUAAAGCGCGUGUAGGCGGAAGCGAAAGUCUGCUGUGAAAUCUCCCGGCUCAACUGGGAGGGGUCGGUGGAAACUGCGUUUCUAGAGUGAGGUAGGGGGCACUGGAAUUCCAGGUGUAGCGGUGAAAUGCGUAGAUAUCUGGAGGAACAUCGGUGGCGAAAGCGAGUGCCUGGGCCUUUACUGACGCUGAGACGCGAAAGCUAGGGUAGCAAACAGG
This 253-nucleotide unclassified non-coding RNA is filed under the name uncultured Elusimicrobia bacterium. RNAcentral's name for it is "contains 16S-23S intergenic spacer region". It matches the Rfam family "Bacterial small subunit ribosomal RNA", at positions 524 to 776 of the family's 1533-position model. Lineage: Bacteria; Pseudomonadati; Elusimicrobiota; Elusimicrobia. The record is from RNAcentral.